Non-coding RNA from Pyrenochaeta sp. MPI-SDFR-AT-0127, 87 nucleotides. Lineage: Eukaryota; Fungi; Ascomycota; Dothideomycetes; Pleosporales; Cucurbitariaceae. The record is from the annotation of a GenBank genome assembly.
GCGAGCGUAGUCUAGCGGUUAUGAUGUCUGCUUUACAUGAGUAAUGUGAAGCGCAGAAGGUCGGGAGUUCGAUCCUCCCCGCUCGUA